Long non-coding RNA from Siniperca chuatsi (mandarin fish), 2575 nucleotides. RefSeq lists it as uncharacterized. NCBI's taxonomy places the organism in Eukaryota, Metazoa, Chordata, Actinopteri, Centrarchiformes, Sinipercidae. The record is from RefSeq and is a predicted model, not a curated record. The transcript has 7 exons.
UCUGCCAUAAUUCAUAAUGGAAAUGUUCAUAUUUGUAAUGGAGCUGCUGUUCUCACUUGACCUGACUUUCUUUUGUAUCUGAAGACUUGAGACUGAUGCGAGACUUGGAAGGAGACACGCAAGUUCAAACCUGCCUAACCGUCUCUAAGGUACAUGCUAACAGCAGCGCUGCAGCUCUUCGAUGUGACGGACGGUGAAUGCAGGCGGCGCGGAGGAAAAGGUCGUCUUUGAAGUUGCUGCUCUGUGAUCAGAGAGGCAGCAACAACUGCAGCCAGAUGGCAGGAAACUGAUCACAUGUUAGAAACGCCUCAUCGCAUGUCAGAGAACCAGGAGAGGUGAACUGGAACAGGCUAUUUGAAACGUGGACGGAGAACAACAGCACAUCAGGAACUUCUCGUUCCUCCGAGGGUUCUUUGCUCGAGGUGUGGCUCCCAGCAGACUUCUCCUCUCAGUUAUAAUGAAGAUCAGCUUCACUUGGCUCCUCCAGUGGCUGCUGGAAACAUUAAAUAUCAAGAAAAAUACAGCACUGAUUUCCAAUCCAGGAAAACGUCCCUGUUUGUUUCAGGCCAAACUGGCUCUAGUUUAGUUCUCUUGUGUUUCCACAGCAAUGAAAUCCCAUCUGGGGCUGCAGUUACAGGAUGUGAAAUGAGUAAAAGACGGACAGAAUCAACUAUCGCUGAUCAGAAAUGUCUGUAAAAUGAGAGCAGAAACAAUGUUUUCUUUGUUCUUGUGUCAUUUAAAACCUGAUUGCUCAGACGCUCUGACAGAGUGAAUAAACCCUGAGCGUUAAAAUGAAGCUGCCAGCCCGGUAACUCAUUUCAUCACCAGAAACACCCACAACAGGCUGAACAAACCCACACUUACCAACACAACCACAUUUAUCUCCACUUACAAAACAGAACAGAGUGGGACUUCUAAGCAUCAAACACAUCUUUGAUUAAUCAGCUUUUCUGUCUGAAAGAAGCCAGUAAUUAACAAACAUCAUCAGUCUUUAAUGACCUCAUCCUAAAGAAGAAACCUGUAAUCUAAUGAUCUUCUUUUGGCAAACAUGAAGAAUUCCAACGGCAGCGACUGAACUUGUCUCCUCCUGCAUGACGGGGUGCGAGUUCGGACUGGAAAGAGGCUUUUGAACGGCAGAAAUCUCACAGCCUGACACACCAGACCACUGCGUUGGCACGGUCAGGUUCCUGGUGAAAAACACAGGAUUGCAAAGUUGAAUCUUGCUCAAGCUUCGGUGACAAAAUGCACAACCCCAUCGCCACACGGGAACCCUGAAAACCACGGAUUACCUUCAUUUACAACUCUUGCACGUGCACAUGGAAGAUAUGGUGAAGGUUAGACUGUGUUAACGGCUAAAAACACACAGCGGACAUUAAUUGCAGGUCUGUGACGGGACCUGAACUCAAGGCUUUGGCAUGAAAGUUGGACGUGCUCCAUGCAUCCACCACCUCAGCCAUUACACUCUGACUUUCCACCUCCCUUCAAACAGGACACACACUCCUUCCUGCAUUGGCGCUGGACGUGAAGCAGAAGCUGUCCAAUAUAAAAGUAGUUCCUGCUGUAGGGAUACUGGUCUGCUGCCACAAGUUUAGCAGCAAUGCAACCGCAUCCAGCAGCACACUGCCUUCACCAAUAAAAUACACGCAUGUGCUCAUUCCUAAUAGAUUAGCUCGUAAUUUAGUCUCAACCGAGGUUUAAAGCAUCUGCACAACUAUGCAGGUUCGCUGAACCUGGAUGAGCAGCAGAAAAUGGACAGAAGGGCUUCACCGUCGUGGACACGGAGGAUAAAAUGAUUGCCGAAACAUCUUUCUCAAGGUGUAAACAGCAGUGUUUUGGUGUCUGAUAAGCCAUCCGACUCUUGAGUAUGCAGCUCUGCACGUUGGCAGCAUAAACGCAGCAUGAGCGCGUCUCCAUGCUGAGCUGAAGUUACGGGACAGUAACACAAAGAGGAUUUCGUGCUAAAAAGAUCUCCACUUGAUUUGAACUCCGACUGCUGAAGCCUCUAAUCUUCAUCCAUCCAUCAGAGGCAGCACUUCCUCUGUUGUGAAGACUGAACUUCAAUAAAAAAAUGUACUGUUCAAGUUUUCUAAUUGGAACUUAUCAAUUAUUAUUUGUGUAAUUACUUUUACUUAAAGUGGACAGUUUGGGUAUUUAGCUUUCUGUUUUUUUGAAGUAGUUUAACCUGUUGGUUUGUUUCCUGAUCGUCAGAUCGUAAAAGUCAGCUUCAUAGACAUUAGUAAAGUUUCCAUCUGAAUUUUGCAGAACAAUGUACUUGUUAAAAGAAAUCGUGACUCGCUGCUUGUCUCCACCCGCUGCUGCUGCUGCGUGAACACAAGCUCGUUGGCUGAUGGAGGUGAACAGCUGGUGGAGCUGAUCCUCCAGCCGCUGCCGUUAAAGCACCGCAGAAGAAGAAGAGGACGCAGCGAGACGACGCCAUUAAAAGCUCAGACGAAACACUGAAACUCGAUCUGCUCAGAGGCCGGCGUCUGGAGGAGGACAUAUAGAUGCAUAUCGCUGCUGUUGGACGAAGAAAUCCUGCUGGGUGUUUUCCUUCCUUACAGUGGGAUUUUACAGU